GCAUAUCAAUAAGCGGAGGAAAAGAAACCAACAGGGAUUGCCCCAGUAACGGCGAGUGAAGCGGCAACAGCUCAAAUUUGAAAUCUGGCCUCGGCCCGAGUUGUAAUUUGCAGAGGAAGCUUCUGGUGCGGCGCCGUCCGAGUCUCCUGGAACGGAGCGCCAUAGAGGGUGAGAGCCCCGUAUGGACGGACGCCAAACCUGUGUGAAGCUCCUUCGACGAGUCGAGUAGUUUGGGAAUGCUGCUCAAAAUGGGAGGUAAAUUCCUUCUAAAGCUAAAUACCGGCCAGAGACCGAUAGCGCACAAGUAGAGUGAUCGAAAGAUGAAAAGCACUUUGAAAAGAGGGUUAAACAGCACGUGAAAUUGUUGAAAGGGAAGCGCUUGUGCAGACUCGGGCGCGGCGGAUCAUCCGGUGUUCUCACCGGUGCACUCCGCCGCGCCCGGGCCAGCAUCGGCUUCCGCCGGGGGAUAAAGGUCCCGGGAACGUAGCUCCUCCGGGAGUGUUAUAGCCCGGGGCGCAAUGCCCCGGCGGGGGCCGAGGACCGCGCAUUGCAAGGAUG
RNAcentral lists this ribosomal RNA (558 nucleotides) under Schizothecium selenosporum. Its description in RNAcentral is "Podospora selenospora partial 28S ribosomal RNA". It matches the Rfam family "Eukaryotic large subunit ribosomal RNA", at positions 38 to 625 of the family's 3401-position model. The record is from RNAcentral. Lineage: Eukaryota; Fungi; Ascomycota; Sordariomycetes; Sordariales; Schizotheciaceae.